CCCCUGGUGGCCCAGAGGUCAGGACGCGGCACUUUCACUGCCAGGGGGCCCCAGUUCAAUUCCUGGCCAGGGAA
RNAcentral lists this transfer RNA (74 nucleotides) under Ovis aries (sheep). It matches the Rfam family "tRNA". Rfam says of the family: Transfer RNA (tRNA) molecules are approximately 80 nucleotides in length. Their secondary structure includes four short double-helical elements and three loops (D, anti-codon, and T loops). Lineage: Eukaryota; Metazoa; Chordata; Mammalia; Artiodactyla; Bovidae. The record is from Rfam by way of RNAcentral.